RNAcentral lists this ribosomal RNA (521 nucleotides) under Enterobacter chengduensis. RNAcentral's name for it is "bacterial SSU rRNA". It matches the Rfam family "Bacterial small subunit ribosomal RNA", at positions 1012 to 1533 of the family's 1533-position model. Lineage: Bacteria; Pseudomonadati; Pseudomonadota; Gammaproteobacteria; Enterobacterales; Enterobacteriaceae. RNAcentral also lists the same sequence under 12 other names. The record is from RNAcentral.
UGGUGCCUUCGGGAACUCUGAGACAGGUGCUGCAUGGCUGUCGUCAGCUCGUGUUGUGAAAUGUUGGGUUAAGUCCCGCAACGAGCGCAACCCUUAUCCUUUGUUGCCAGCGGUUAGGCCGGGAACUCAAAGGAGACUGCCAGUGAUAAACUGGAGGAAGGUGGGGAUGACGUCAAGUCAUCAUGGCCCUUACGAGUAGGGCUACACACGUGCUACAAUGGCGCAUACAAAGAGAAGCGACCUCGCGAGAGCAAGCGGACCUCAUAAAGUGCGUCGUAGUCCGGAUUGGAGUCUGCAACUCGACUCCAUGAAGUCGGAAUCGCUAGUAAUCGUAGAUCAGAAUGCUACGGUGAAUACGUUCCCGGGCCUUGUACACACCGCCCGUCACACCAUGGGAGUGGGUUGCAAAAGAAGUAGGUAGCUUAACCUUCGGGAGGGCGCUUACCACUUUGUGAUUCAUGACUGGGGUGAAGUCGUAACAAGGUAACCGUAGGGGAACCUGCGGUUGGAUCACCUCCUUA